Molecule: long non-coding RNA, 523 nt
Filed under: Trifolium pratense (red clover)
Lineage: Eukaryota; Viridiplantae; Streptophyta; Magnoliopsida; Fabales; Fabaceae
Description: long non-coding RNA (TPRA_LNC012259)
Source: RNAcentral
AACCAAAUCCGCCGCUGCUUUGGACUUGUUGGUUGAAAGGGCUCCAUCAAUGGCCCUUCCCUAUUGAAAAUGUGGUACAGAAUGAUGUGUUGUCUUACACAGUUUUGUUGAGUUCUGAUUCUAAAUCCGAAAUGUUGCUCCAUUAGAGGAAGGAAGGAAGAGGACCUUGAGAAGAUUAAUAACUUGUGAGGUAUCCAUAUGUGAGCUGCAUUUCAAAAAUUCCUUCAGUACCAAGAUAACCUUCAAUGUCUGACUUAGAUUUAUUUGUUGUUGUAUUAUAUUUAUGCAAGUUUAAGAAGUACUUUAUUUUCCUUCCUUCUCUUACAAAUACUUGAAAUCUUUGAUACCUAUAGUUUGUUGGAAGCAGAAUUGAAUGCAUUCGGUAGUUGUUGUAAGACUUCAGGGUUGAAGGAGCAACAAGUAUAUGAGUAUAUCAAAAUGUUUUCCAAAGUUAUGGACACAAUGAGUUUUUUUGGAGAGCCAAUAUGAACAAUUAUUCAUGAAUAUACAUAAUGUGUUUUUU